CCAGAUUCUUACGGGAGGCAGCAGUGGGGAAUAUUGCACAAUGGGCGCAAGCCUGAUGCAGCCAUGCCGCGUGUAUGAAGAAGGCCUUCGGGUUGUAAAGUACUUUCAGCAGUGAGGAAGGGGGUGUCGUUAAUAGCGGCAUCUCUUGWCGUUAGCUGCAGAAGAAGCACCGGCUAACUCCGUGCCAGCAGCCGCGGUAAUACGGAGGGUGCGAGCGUUAAUCGGAAUUACUGGGCGUAAAGCGCAUGCAGGUGGUUUGUUAAGUCAGAUGUGAAAGCCCGGGGCUCAACCUCGGAACUGCAUUUGAAACUGGCAAACUAGAGUACUGUAGAGGGGGGUAGAAUUUCAGGUGUAGCGGUGAAAUGCGUAGAGAUCUGAAGGAAUACCAGUGGCGAAGGCGGCCCCCUGGACAGAUACUGACACUCAGAUGCGAAAGCGUGGGGAGCAAACAGGAUUAGAUACCCUGGUAGUCCACGCCGUAAACGAUGUCUACUUGGAGGUUGUGGCCUUGAGCCGUGGCUUUCGGAGCUAACGCGUUAAGUAGACCGCCUGGGGAGUACGGUCGCAAGAUUAAAACUCAAAUGAAUUGACGGGGGCCCGCACAAGCGGUGGAGCAUGUGGUUUAAUUCGAUGCAACGCGAAGAACCUUACCUACUCUUGACAUCCAGAGAACUUAGCAGAGAUGSWUUGGUGCCUUCGGGAACUCUGAGACAGGUGCUGCAUGGCUGUCGUCAGCUCGUGUUGUGAAAUGUUGGGUUAAGUCCCGCAACGAGCGCAACCCUUAUCCUUGUUUGCCAGCGAGUAAUGUCGGGAACUCCAGGGAGACUGCCGGUGAUAAACCGGAGGAAGGUGGGGACGACGUCAAGUCAUCAUGGCCCUUACGAGUAGGGCUACACACGUGCUACAAUGGCGCAUACAGAGGGCAGCCAACUCGCGAGAGUGAGCGAAUCCCAAAAAGUGCGUCGUAGUCCGGAUUGGAGUCUGCAACUCGACUCCAUGAAGUCGGAAUCGCUAGUAAUCGUAGAUCAGAAUGCUACGGUGAAUACGUUCCCGGGCCUUGUACACACCGCCCGUCACACCAUGGGAGUGGGCUGCAAAAGAAGUGGGUAGUUUAACCUUCGGGAGGACGCUC
This 1132-nucleotide ribosomal RNA is filed under the name Vibrio fortis. Its description in RNAcentral is "bacterial SSU rRNA". It matches the Rfam family "Bacterial small subunit ribosomal RNA", at positions 331 to 1455 of the family's 1533-position model. The record is from RNAcentral. Lineage: Bacteria; Pseudomonadati; Pseudomonadota; Gammaproteobacteria; Vibrionales; Vibrionaceae.